This 467-nucleotide ribosomal RNA is filed under the name uncultured bacterium. RNAcentral describes it as "partial 16S ribosomal RNA". It matches the Rfam family "Bacterial small subunit ribosomal RNA", at positions 28 to 507 of the family's 1533-position model. The record is from RNAcentral.
GACGAACGCUGGCGGCGUGCUUAACACAUGCCAGUCGAACGGAAGGCCCUGCUUUUGUGGGGUGCUCGAGUGGCGAACGGGUGAGUAACACGUGAGUAACCUGCCCUUGACUUUGGGAUAACUUCAGGAAACUGGGGCUAAUACCGGAUAGGAGCUCCUGCUGCAUGGUGGGGGUUGGAAAGUUUCGGCGGUUGGGGAUGGACUCGCGGCUUAUCAGCUUGUUGGUGGGGUAGUGGCUUACCAAGGCUUUGACGGGUAGCCGGCCUGAGAGGGUGACCGGCCACAUUGGGACUGAGAUACGGCCCAGACUCCUACGGGAGGCAGCAGUGGGGAAUAUUGCACAAUGGGCGGAAGCCUGAUGCAGCAACGCCGCGUGCGGGAUGACGGCCUUCGGGUUGUAAACCGCUUUCGCCUGUGACGAAGCGUGAGUGACGGUAAUGGGUAAAGAAGCACCGGCUAACUACGUG